AGGGUUUGAUCAUGGCUCAGAUUGAACGCUGGCGGAAUGCUUUACACAUGCAAGUCGAGCGGCAGCACGGGGGUAACCCUGGUGGCGAGCGGCGAACGGGUGAGUAAUACAUCGGAACAUGCCCAGUCGUGGGGGAUAACACUUCGAAAGAAGUGCUAAUACCGCAUACGUCCUGAGGGAGAAAGCGGGGGACCGCAAGACCUCGCGCGAUUGGAGUGGCCGAUGUCAGAUUAGCUAGUUGGUGGGGUAAAGGCCUACCAAGGCAACGAUCUGUAGCUGGUCUGAGAGGAUGAUCAGCCACACUGGGACUGAGACACGGCCCAGACUCCUACGGGAGGCAGCAGUGGGGAAUUUUGGACAAUGGGGGCAACCCUGAUCCAGCCAUUCCGCGUGAGUGAAGAAGGCCUUCGGGUUGUAAAGCCCUUUCGGCAGGAACGAAACGGUGAGCUCUAACAUAGCUUGCUAAUGACGGUACCUGAAGAAGAAGCACCGGCUAACUACGUGCCAGCCGCCGCGGUAAUAC
RNAcentral lists this ribosomal RNA (523 nucleotides) under uncultured bacterium. Its description in RNAcentral is "bacterial SSU rRNA". It matches the Rfam family "Bacterial small subunit ribosomal RNA", at positions 8 to 526 of the family's 1533-position model. The record is from RNAcentral.